RNAcentral lists this ribosomal RNA (560 nucleotides) under uncultured bacterium. RNAcentral describes it as "partial 16S ribosomal RNA". It matches the Rfam family "Bacterial small subunit ribosomal RNA", at positions 355 to 1375 of the family's 1533-position model. The record is from RNAcentral.
UGGGGAAUAUUGGACAAUGGGCGCAAGCCUGAUCCAGCCAUGCCGCGUGAGUGAUGAAGGCCUUAGGGUUGUAAAGCUCUUUCGACGGGGACGAUAAUGACGGUACCCGUAGAAGAAGCCCCGGCUAACUUCGUGCCAGCAGCCGCGGUAAUACGAAGGGGGCUAGCGUUGCUCGGAAUCACUGGGCGUAAAGGGCGCGUAGGCGGACAUUUAAGUCAGAGGUGAAAGCCCAGGGCUCAACCCUGGAACAGCCUUUGAUACUGGGUGUCUCGAGACCGGAAGAGGUUGGUGGAACUGCGAGUGUAGAGGUGAAAUUCGUAGAUAUUCGCAAGAACACCGGUGGCGAAGGCGGCCAACUGGUCCGGUUCUGACGCUGAGGCGCGAAAGCGUGGGGAGCAAACAGGAUUAGAUACCCUGGUAGUCCACGCCGUAAACGAUGGAUGCUAGCCGUUGGCGGGUUUACCCGUCAGUGGCGCAGCUAACGCGUUAAGCAUCCCGCCUGGGGAGUACGGUCGCAAGAUUAAAACUCAAAGGAAUUGACGGGGUCAUAGCUGUUUCCU